GCGAGUGAAGCGGGAAGAGCUCAAAUUUGAAAUCUAAUGGCCUCAGGUCAUUCGAGUUGUAAUCUAUAGGAACGUUUUCCGUGCCGGCUCAUGUACAAGUCCCUUGGAACAGGGCGUCAUAGAGGGUGAGAAUCCCGUACUUGACAUGAACUACCGGUGCUCUGUGAUACGUCUCCAACGAGUCGAGUUGUUUGGGAAUGCAGCUCAAAAUGGGUGGUAAAUUCCAUCUAAAGCUAAAUAUUGGUGUGAGACCGAUAGCGAACAAGUACCGUGAGGGAAAGAUGAAAAGCACUUUGGAAAGAGAGUUAAAAAGUAUGUGAAAUUGUUGAAAGGGAAACGAUUGAAGUCAGUCAUGUCCUUCAGAUUCAGCUGGUUCUGCCGGUGUAUUUCUGUUGGAUGGGGUCAACAUCAGUUUUGGAUGCCGGAUAAAGGCAGGAGGAAGGUAGUACUCUCGGGUAAACUUAUAGCCUCCUGUUGCAUACGGUGACUGGGACUGAGGAACGCAGCUUGCCUUUAUGGCCGGGGUUCGCCCACGUACAAGCUUAGGAUGUUGACAUAAUGGCUUUAAACGACCC
This 575-nucleotide ribosomal RNA is filed under the name Piskurozyma cylindrica. Its description in RNAcentral is "eukaryotic LSU rRNA". It matches the Rfam family "Eukaryotic large subunit ribosomal RNA", at positions 89 to 650 of the family's 3401-position model. Lineage: Eukaryota; Fungi; Basidiomycota; Tremellomycetes; Filobasidiales; Piskurozymaceae. The record is from RNAcentral.